CUACGGGAGGCAGCAGUGGGGAAUAUUGGACAAUGGGCGAAAGCCUGAUCCAGCCAUGCCGCGUGUGUGAAGAAGGUCUUCGGAUUGUAAAGCACUUUAAGUUGGGAGGAAGGGUUGUAGAUUAAUACUCUGCAAUUUUGACGUUACCGACAGAAUAAGCACCGGCUAACUCUGUGCCAGCAGCCGCGGUAAUACAGAGGGUGCAAGCGUUAAUCGGAAUUACUGGGCGUAAAGCGCGCGUAGGUGGUUUGUUAAGUUGGAUGUGAAAUCCCCGGGCUCAACCUGGGAACUGCAUCCAAAACUGGCAAGCUAGAGUAUGGUAGAGGGUGGUGGAAUUUCCUGUGUAGCGGUGAAAUGCGUAGAUAUAGGAAGGAACACCAGUGGCGAAGGCGACCACCUGGACUGAUACUGACACUGAGGUGCGAAAGCGUGGGGAGCAAACAGGAUUAGAUACCCCGGU
Molecule: ribosomal RNA, 460 nt
Filed under: uncultured bacterium
Lineage: Bacteria
Description: bacterial SSU rRNA
Rfam family: Bacterial small subunit ribosomal RNA
Source: RNAcentral